Long non-coding RNA from Triticum urartu, 1188 nucleotides. RefSeq lists it as uncharacterized. Lineage: Eukaryota; Viridiplantae; Streptophyta; Magnoliopsida; Poales; Poaceae. The record is from RefSeq and is a predicted model, not a curated record.
UAUCCACUCUACUCAAGCCCCGCGCCUCCUCCAUACGCGGCCGCCGCCCCGCUCCUCCUCCUGGCCACGUGCCCGCCAGCCGCACUCAUCCUCCCGGCUACGCGCUCCGCCGCCUCGCUCCUCCAGCCAACUCCCGACGCCGCGCGCUGCGCCAAGCACACCCACCUCGUCUGCGGCUACAAGGGUGUGAAAUGCGACCCAUGGCAGCUUCUUCUCCCAAAUCCACCGCCGCGUUCAUCGAUUCCGUGGCGGAGCUACCGGAGAUUACUAGAUUUUGGGAGGCGUGGGGAGAAGAGGGAGGAGAAAUACCACUCUGCGGAGAGAGAGGGGCCAGAGCGCCAUCCGCGCGCGGUGACCACCAGGCGUAGGUAGGAGAGAGGGGGUCUGGCCGGCGUCGCUCCUCCGUGCGCCGCGCUCGUGCAGGAGCGAGGGCUCGAGAAGGUACCCGCGCGUCCGUGCAACACGACCACCUCGCGUGCAGGAGUGGGAGGCGCCAGAUCCGGGCCAACGCCGCCGCGCGAUCCCAAGAGCUCUGACCAACGGAAGCAGCCGCGGGGCCCUUCACUCCGGUCCCAUUUGUCCGUCGCCGAGCUUGGUUUGGGGUGGACAGAAGGGAGGGCGGUCGACGGGCGAACUGGGGAUUGGGGACGAACUGCUACGCCGGCAACUGCUCCAGUUCUCGUACACUGACCGAGGGGGAGCACUAAAUUCUAAAACAAUGUCAAAGCAACGUUUUCGAGGUUUUGUGUACAUGCCAUAGCAAGAAGCUUCAACAACCACUCCUAGUUCUUGUUGCAUGGUGGCCAUCAGAGGAGGCAGAGGCGAGAUGAGCUUUCAUGUGGUUCGAGAUCUGGGAGGAAGAAGGCCAGUGAGAAGCCGAGGCAUGCGAUGGGUUGGUGGGAAGGACAACAUGUGGGACUUUCUGCACGUGAUCGGGGAAGGAGAGUGGUGCUAGUUGGUGCGCGAGAGAUCUUUUCUUUUUGUUGGUUGGUGUGCGGGGGCAUCAGAUGAUAGGACUUCCCUUUUUUGGUUCCUCUUUCUAGACGGGGGAUGAUAUCUUCCUUAAAUGGGGUGUGUGCCAGGGAACUACAGGAAGCACGCGUUUGCUGCCUAGACGCGUCCAUUAUAAAAACGUCUGCAAAUAUUAAACGACAAAUUAAUAACCAAGUAUUUUUGUUCCUUAGUAAA